Molecule: ribosomal RNA, 537 nt
Filed under: uncultured Amoebozoa
Lineage: Eukaryota
Description: bacterial SSU rRNA
Rfam family: Eukaryotic small subunit ribosomal RNA
Source: RNAcentral
UAGUCAUAUGCUUGUCUCAAAGAUUAAGCCAUGCACGUGUAAGAUCAUUUGGUAAGGAGCAAUCCUUAUGAACAAUAAUUUGCGGAUGGCUCAAGAUAACAGUUAUAAACUUGGCUAUCAGCCUUUUAUACGGAUAACACCGUCAAAUGCGGUGAUAAUACGUGUCCACAAAACCCGAAAGGGUUGACGAUACAAUUAUUGGAAAAUGUUGUAUCAGCAGAUAACGGUCUUCGGACCGUUAUUAUAGACAACGCAAGUUGCCUGGAAGAGGUAUUUCUAACUUAUCAGGUACGUUGUUUCAGUAAGGGUGAAACAAGCCGACCACGAGUACGGCGAAUCAGUGUUCGAUUCCGGAGAGGGAGCCUGAGAGAUGGCUACUACAUCUAAGGAUGGCAGCAGGCGCGAAAAUUACCCAAUACAAAUUCUGUGAGGUAGUGACAAGAUAUAACGACCUUACUUUUUCGCAAUGGAAGGGUACCGUGUUAAAAGCGGUUUUGGAAUGUUUCUAGUUCNNAAUCCUAUUUAGAGUAACAAUUG